GAACGACUAAUAUUACAAAGAUUAAGGUAUUUCCCGAUUCUUGGAUGAAUACGAAACCGAUUAGCCAGGUUCUACUUGCACUUCCUGUUACAGAAAAAAAAUUCGAGUCAGCAAGAGCUCCUUUCUAUGGUUUGUUCUAGACUUUCCUUUUGGCUGAUUGUGAUAUACUUCUUUGAAACAAUGAUUCUACGUAACGCAGUCAGGUGAAUCGACUGGUCCUUUUUAUGCUUAGUGACAUCUAUAUGAAGGUUUACUAAAUUUUGAGAAACAGUUGUCAGGACACAAGACUGAAAGAAAGACGUACUGAAAAACUGCCUGUAAACACAACAAUCAUUAAAGUCAAUGGAUUACCCAGGAACAUCCAAGCAAUAUGAUAUCAGAGACUGGCAAUUUGUAUCACUUGAUGUGGCAGAAAAACCUAAAUAAAUAUUGAAAUGUUCAAUUUCUUUGUUCAUUGCUUUUCUCUUGUGUAUAUGAAUAUCGCAUAAUAUUUAUGAGAAUUUCGCACAAUUUUUACAUGAAAAACUGUUAAUUUGGAAUUCGCAUGAAUAUCAUGCGAAAUUUUAGUCACAUGAAAAUCGCAUGAAUUUCGCAUAAAUAUUAUAUGAGGACAUUCGCAUGAAAUUCGCAUGUGGAACUUUUCGCAUGGUUUUUAUAUGAUUUUCGCACGAAAUUCAUGCGAAAAGGCAAUCGCAUGAAAAUCAUGCGAGCCACUUUUCCCUGUGUACUGCCA
Long non-coding RNA from Saccostrea cuccullata (small rock oyster), 733 nucleotides. RefSeq lists it as uncharacterized. The transcript has 3 exons. NCBI's taxonomy places the organism in Eukaryota, Metazoa, Mollusca, Bivalvia, Ostreida, Ostreidae. The record is from RefSeq and is a predicted model, not a curated record.